GAUGAACGCUAGCGGCAGGCCUAAUACAUGCAAGUCGAACGAUAUUUUCCAGCUUGCUGGGAGAGAAAGUGGCGCACGGGUGCGUAACGCGUAUGCAACCUACCUUUAUCAGGGGGAUAGCCCGGAGAAAUCCGGAUUAAUACCGCAUAAAAUCACAGAACGGCAUUGUUCAAUGAUCAAACAUUUAUGGGAUAAAGAAGGGCAUGCGUGUCAUUAGCUAGUUGGCGGGGUAACGGCCCACCAAGGCGACGAUGACUAGGGGAUCUGAGAGGAUGGCCCCCCACACUGGCACUGAGACACGGACCAGACUCCUACGGGAGGCAGCAGUAUGGAAUAUUGGUCAAUGGAGGCAACUCUGAACCAGCCAUGCCGCGUGCAGGAAGACCGCCCUAUGGGUUGUGAACUGCUUUUAUCCGGGAAUAAACCUCCGAUCGUGAUCGGAGCUGAAUGUACCGGAAGAAUAAGGAUCGGCUAACUCCGUGCCAGCAGCCGCAGUAA
RNAcentral lists this ribosomal RNA (498 nucleotides) under uncultured bacterium. RNAcentral describes it as "partial 16S ribosomal RNA". It matches the Rfam family "Bacterial small subunit ribosomal RNA", at positions 28 to 523 of the family's 1533-position model. The record is from RNAcentral.